This 491-nucleotide ribosomal RNA is filed under the name uncultured bacterium. RNAcentral describes it as "partial 16S ribosomal RNA". It matches the Rfam family "Bacterial small subunit ribosomal RNA", at positions 29 to 506 of the family's 1533-position model. The record is from RNAcentral.
AGUGAACGCUGGCGGUAGGCCUAACACAUGCAAGUCGAACGGCAGCACAGUAAGAGCUUGCUCUUACGGGUGGUGAGUGGCGGACGGGUGAGGAAUACAUCGGAAUCUACUUUUUCGUGGGGGAUAACGUAGGGAAACUUACGCUAAUACCGCAUACGACCUACGGGUGAAAGCAGGGGAUCUUCGGACCUUGCGCGAUUGAAUGAGCCGAUGUCGGAUUAGCUAGUUGGCGGGGUAAAGGCCCACCAAGGCGACGAUCCGUAGCUGGUCUGAGAGGAUGAUCAGCCACACUGGAACUGAGACACGGUCCAGACUCCUACGGGAGGCAGCAGUGGGGAAUAUUGGACAAUGGGCGCAAGCCUGAUCCAGCCAUACCGCGUGGGUGAAGAAGGCCUUCGGGUUGUAAAGCCCUUUUGUUGGGAAAGAAAAGCAGCAGGUUAAUACCCCGCUGUUCUGACGGGACCCAAAGAAUAAGCACCGGCUAACUGCGU